This 253-nucleotide ribosomal RNA is filed under the name uncultured bacterium. RNAcentral's name for it is "partial 16S ribosomal RNA". It matches the Rfam family "Bacterial small subunit ribosomal RNA", at positions 524 to 776 of the family's 1533-position model. The record is from RNAcentral.
UACGGGGGGGGUAAGCGUUGUCCGGAUUUAUUGGGCGUAAAGAGCGUGUAGGCGGUUAGGUAGGUCCGUUGUGAAAACUCGAGGCUCAACCUCGAGACGCCGAUGGAAACCAUCUGACUAGAGUCCGGAAGAGGAGAGUGGAAUUCCUGGUGUAGCGGUGAAAUGCGCAGAUAUCAGGAAGAACACCCGUGGCUAAGGCGGCUCUCUAGUACGUGACUGACGCUGAGACGCGAAAGCGUGGGGAGCGAACAGG